This 26-nucleotide non-coding RNA is filed under the name Cricetulus griseus (Chinese hamster). Lineage: Eukaryota; Metazoa; Chordata; Mammalia; Rodentia; Cricetidae. The record is from RNAcentral.
CGGGGAUGGAGCAAUGGGAGCAAGAG